GGGGGAAUAUUGCGCAAUGGGCGAAAGCCUGACGCAGCGACGCCGCGUGAGGGAUGAAGGUUUUCGGAUCGUAAACCUCUGUCAGAAGGGAAGAAACCGCACUGUGCUAAUCAGCAGUGCCUUGACGGUACCUUCAAAGGAAGCACCGGCUAACUCCGUGCCAGCAGCCGCGGUAAUACGGAGGGUGCAAGCGUUAAUCGGAAUUACUGGGCGUAAAGCGCACGUAGGCUGCUUUGUAAGUCAGGGGUGAAAUCCCACGGCUCAACCGUGGAACUGCCUUUGAUACUGCUUAGCUUGAAUCCGGGAGAGGGUGGCGGAAUUCCAGGUGUAGGAGUGAAAUCCGUAGAUAUCUGGAGGAACAUCAGUGGCGAAGGCGGCCACCUGGACCGGUAUUGACGCUGAGGUGCGAAAGCGUGGGGAGCAAACAGG
RNAcentral lists this ribosomal RNA (429 nucleotides) under Fusobacteriota bacterium. RNAcentral describes it as "Fusobacteria bacterium partial 16S ribosomal RNA". It matches the Rfam family "Bacterial small subunit ribosomal RNA", at positions 355 to 776 of the family's 1533-position model. Lineage: Bacteria; Fusobacteriati; Fusobacteriota. The record is from RNAcentral.